This 244-nucleotide long non-coding RNA is filed under the name Elaeis guineensis (African oil palm). RNAcentral's name for it is "long non-coding RNA (EGUI_LNC034088)". Lineage: Eukaryota; Viridiplantae; Streptophyta; Magnoliopsida; Arecales; Arecaceae. The record is from RNAcentral.
CCUGAAUCAAUGGAGAUACCAAGUGGAGUGGUGAAUAUUAGGGAGAUCAAAACUGUCACUACACCAUCUCUCUCUUCUGUUCAUGUUCAUGGAUUGUGGUCACUAACUGAACCAUCAAUGACUAGUUUCAAUACGAAGAGUAUAUCUUAAUCUUCUUUUCUCCGAACUUGAAAUCAAGAAGUAUUGUAAAACAUUUAUACAAGACCAUCUUCCAACAAAUUCUGAAUAAAAGAAAUGCAGUGCC